GACGAACGCUGGCGGCGUGCUUAACACAUGCCAGUCGAACGGAAAGGCCCUGCUUUUGUGGGGUGCUCGAGUGGCGAACGGGUGAGUAACACGUGAGUAACCUGCCCUUGACUUUGGGAUAACUUCAGGAAACUGGGGCUAAUACCGGAUAGGAGCUCCUGCUGCAGGGUGGGGGUUGGAAAGUUUCGGCGGUUGGGGAUGGAUUCGCGGCUUACCAGCUUGUUGGUGGGGUAGUGGCUUACCAAGGCUUUGACGGGUAGGCGGCCUGGGAGGGUGACCGGCCACAUUGGGACUGAGAUACGGCCCAGACUCCUACGGGAGGCAGCAGUGGGGAAUAUUGCCCAAUGGGCGGAAGCCUGAUGCAGCAACGCCGCGUGCGGGAUGACGGCCUUCGGGUUGUAAACCGCUUUCGCCUGUGACGAAGCGUGAGUGACGGUAAUGGGUAAAGAAGCACCGGCUAACUACGUG
RNAcentral lists this ribosomal RNA (468 nucleotides) under uncultured bacterium. RNAcentral describes it as "partial 16S ribosomal RNA". It matches the Rfam family "Bacterial small subunit ribosomal RNA", at positions 28 to 507 of the family's 1533-position model. The record is from RNAcentral.